UGAAAUGUGCAUUCAAAUAACCUUGCGUUAACUUGUGUAGUUGCAGGGAAAGCUUGGUUUCCCAUCGACGCUUUUUCCGGGUUGUUUUAGCGACCAGGUGGUUCACUUGUCUGACAUGGAACAACAUCCAGGUGAAGCUUCACUAUUCCACAGCAUUGGCUCACAUGAUAAACAAACAGGACCAUAGGUAGCAGUAGUAGUGUAUAUAAAACUUCUUAUGAUUUCAGAGUUUUGACCAAAUGAGAUAUUUUGAGAUCAGGAAGUGGUUUUCAUGUCUUUUAAACUUUAAAAUAGACAAUUUUUAGCUUUAGACUUUUAUUUAUUGAUGAAGAUUUGAGCUCCUCUGGAUCAUAAAAGAAUUGAUUACUAGUUGGAGAAAAGAGAGUUGAAACAUGUUUCAUAAGAACAUUUCCCAAAAUAAGGCGUGAUACUUGAACGUCUGGUUUUGAAUUAUAUAACAUUGGUCCCCUUUCAACUUUGCCGGUUUGGUUUUGAAUUCUAUCAUAUUGGCUAAAGUUAGGACUGACUGGUCCCCUUUCAACUU
Impatiens glandulifera is the source of this 544-nucleotide long non-coding RNA. RefSeq lists it as uncharacterized. Lineage: Eukaryota; Viridiplantae; Streptophyta; Magnoliopsida; Ericales; Balsaminaceae. The transcript is spliced from 2 exons. The record is from RefSeq and is a predicted model, not a curated record.